This 468-nucleotide ribosomal RNA is filed under the name uncultured bacterium. RNAcentral describes it as "partial 16S ribosomal RNA". It matches the Rfam family "Bacterial small subunit ribosomal RNA", at positions 28 to 507 of the family's 1533-position model. The record is from RNAcentral.
GACGAACGCUGGCGGCGUGCUUAGCACAUGCAAGUCGAACGGAAAGGCCCUGCUUUUGUGGGGUGCUCGAGUGGCGAACGGGUGAGUAACACGUGAGUAACCUGCCCUUGACUUUGGGAUAACUUCAGGAAACUGGGGCUAAUACCGGAUAGGAGCUCCUGCUGCAUGGUGGGGGUUGGAAAGUUUCGGCGGUUGGGGAUGGACUCGCGGCUUAUCAGCUUGUUGGUGGGGUAGUGGCUUACCAAGGCUUUGACGGGUAGCCGGCCUGAGAGGGUGACCGGCCACAUUGGGACUGAGAUACGGCCCAGACUCCUACGGGAGGCAGAAGUGGGGAAUAGUGCACAAUGGGCGGAAGCCUGAUGCAGCAACGCCGCGUGCGGGAUGACGGCCUUCGGGUUGUAAACCGCUUUCGCCUGUGACGAAGCGUGAGUGACGGUAAUGGGUAAAGAAGCACCGGCUAACUACGUG